GGGCGGUUUCGGAUUAUUGGGCGUAAGAGCUCGUAGGCGGUUUGUCGCGUCUGCCGUGAAAGUCCGGGGCUCAACUCCGGAUCUGCGGUGGGUACGGGCAGACUAGAGUGAUGUAGGGGAGACUGGAAUUCCUGGUGUAGCGGUGAAAUGCGCAGAUGUCAGGAGGAACACCGAUGGCGAAGGCAGGUCUCUGGGCAUUAACUGACGCUGAGGAGCGAAAGCAUGGGGAGCGAACAGGAUUAGAUACCCUGGUAGUCCAUGCCGUAAACGUUGGGCACUAGGUGUGGGGACAUUCCACGUUUUCCGCGCCGUAGCUAACGCAUUAAGUGCCCCGCCUGGGGAGUACGGCCGCAAGGCUAAGACUCAAAGGAAUUGACGGGGGCCCGCACAAGCGGCGGAGCAUGCGGAUUAAUUCGAUGCAACGCGAAGAACCUUACCAAGGCUUGACAUGGGCCGGACCGGGCUGGAAACAGUCCUUCCCCUUUGGGGCCGGUUCACAGGUGGUGCAUGGUUGUCGUCAGCUCGUGUCGUGAGAUGUUGGGUUAAGUCCCGCAACGAGCGCAACCCUCGUUCCAUGUUGCCAGCGCGUAAUGGCGGGGACUCAUGGGAGACUGCCGGGGUCAACUCGGAGGAAGGUGGGGACGACGUCAAAUCAUCAUGCCCCUUAUGUCUUGGGCUUCACGCAUGCUACAAUGGCCGGUACAAAGGGUUGCGAUACUGUGAGGUGGAGCUAAUCCCAAAAAGCCGGUCUCAGUUCGGAUUGGGGUCUGCAACUCGACCCCAUGAAGUCGGAGUCGCUAGUAAUCGCAGAUCAGCAACGCUGCGGUGAAUACGUUCCCGGGCCUUGUACACACCGCCCGUCAAGUUACGAAAGUUGGUAACACCCGAAGCCGGUGGCCUAACCCCUUGUGGGAGGGAGCUGUCGAAGGUGGGACUGGCGAUUGGGACUAAGUCGUAACAAGGUAACC
RNAcentral lists this ribosomal RNA (968 nucleotides) under uncultured bacterium. RNAcentral's name for it is "bacterial SSU rRNA". It matches the Rfam family "Bacterial small subunit ribosomal RNA", at positions 536 to 1501 of the family's 1533-position model. The record is from RNAcentral.